CAAAAUUGGUAGGUUUUUGUUUUCUUGGUAGAUUGGCAGGCUGAACUCAAUUUUUGAGUGCAGAAUUUAGCCAAGCGAGGGGCCAAGAAGUUGCAAAGGGUCUCAUUGCUUCAAAUUUCAAGAAAAAGGGCGUAAGUUCUGAUAUUGACCGUAAAUGCUGGUACGAGUUUUAAUGGAUCUCUUCCAAACUUCGUAACUUAUGGAUGGGGAAUGCGGCUUUGUGCGUUUCGGAAAACAUGUGGCAGCUGCAUACAACGAUGGUCAAAUCUGGUCGAUUCUCAAAUGUUGAGGGAUACAUGCUUUUCGCUGUAGCAGCGAAAAUAGGAAUAGGAAAACACAUUUCUGGGCUCAAACAGCUAAAUGGACAGGUCGCUUUGUCCAAUCGGAACAAAAAUAUGACUUUAUGAACUCAAGAUUUCUUAUCGGGAGAUCGGUAUAAAGGAUGUUAUAUCAAAAUUUCAACAAAUAGUUUGUCGGAAA
This is a long non-coding RNA of Stomoxys calcitrans (stable fly), 480 nucleotides long. RefSeq lists it as uncharacterized. The record is from RefSeq and is a predicted model, not a curated record. NCBI's taxonomy places the organism in Eukaryota, Metazoa, Arthropoda, Insecta, Diptera, Muscidae. The transcript is spliced from 2 exons.